This is a long non-coding RNA of Sebastes umbrosus (honeycomb rockfish), 535 nucleotides long. RefSeq lists it as uncharacterized. The transcript is spliced from 6 exons. The record is from RefSeq and is a predicted model, not a curated record. Lineage: Eukaryota; Metazoa; Chordata; Actinopteri; Perciformes; Sebastidae.
CCACUUCCUUGUUGUUGCAUCAUUUGUUUGGAGUUUUGCUGCUUGUUUGCCUGACUGCUAUUUCCUGGCUGCCUUUUGGACCCCAUGCCUAUUCAGCAUGUGACUGCCUGCUGUGUGGCCUGGUCCCUUGUCUGACAUGCCAGCCUAAUCUGCUAUUAAACAGCCUUCCAGACCUUUGCCUCCAACAAUGACUGCCUAGCCCUGAUUAGUGUAGUGGAAAUGGGAGGCGAGAGAGAAAUGACAUGGAACAAAGGGCAUAAGGCUUGAAUCGAACCCGGGACGUUACGCUCCGGUGCUUGAUGUUGCAGGCGGCACCCCCCACCUCAAGGGAGAAGAACAGUCAGCUGUGUGUUGGUGAAAGUGCUGCAGCGGGACCAGGAUCAGAAAGUCACAAAUGUAAGAUCAAAGGGAGCCACUGGAGAGGGACUAAAAAAGCCGCAUGACGCUCCGGAGCUGCAGGUUGCUGACCCCUGACCUAACCCUAAAGGCUGUAACCUCAAUGUGGAACAACGCUUUUGAAAAUGAACAAACAUAG